This is a long non-coding RNA of Dermochelys coriacea (leatherback sea turtle), 1027 nucleotides long. RefSeq lists it as uncharacterized. The transcript is spliced from 3 exons. Lineage: Eukaryota; Metazoa; Chordata; Testudines; Dermochelyidae. The record is from RefSeq and is a predicted model, not a curated record.
GGCAGAAGAUGGAGGUGAGCUGAUCUGUACUCCUGGAAAGGAAUACCACAGGAGCUCUUUCUGCCAGUGGCCUGUCUAUAGUCAUCUGACCAAGCCUGUAAAGAAGGGACUUGCAACUCUCUGAAGGUUGAUGCCAUGAAAGAGAUUACUAGAACCAUUUUGGGAUACGGUUUUUGUGUGACAGCACAGAACGAAUUCUGUAGCAAGACUUUUGCUUCUUCCUGAUAAAUCAAGUCCCAUUCUCAUGUGACAAGGUAGCCCUUAAAUGUGAUGAAUCCCUUGGAGAACAUCUUUUCCUCAGAAAAACAUUGGGCCUGACUAACUAAAAUACAACCUGUUGUCCUUUAGCAGGAAGAGCAUAUUAAACUUCCCUUUGGUUCAAAGCAACCUGUUCGUGAGCCUUCACGGCUCAUUUCAAGGCUCAUCUUUCCUCCCUUGCCUGUGAGAAGAUGAGUGACGGGUAGUAGUGGUUUGGGACUGGGGAUUUUUGUCAUCAUUAUGUUUUUCGGGGGCAUUCUUCGACUUAAUCCUAUAGUCAUUGAUGAUUUCAUUUAUAAAUGUUCAUACUUCCAAAAUUCUCAGUUGCCUAGAACAUUGGACUGGCUUUCUUUUAUUGAGUUACCUGCGUGUAGUAUCUAGAUAAAUCAAUGAGAAUUAAAUAUAUUUAAGUGAGAUUAGAAUCAGGAUGUAUGACUGAAGAAGCUCUUAGAAGAUCAGCUUGUAUGAUCUUUCAUGGAUGUUCUGUUUGCAUAGAAGCUGGGUGCUUCUUUUGCUGAAUUAUGUCUUAAGUUUCUCUCAGAUAUUUGGUUUUAAGUCAAAAUAUUUUUCUUUAAAAUUUGAUGAAAUAUGAGAUGAAAAAGGGUUCUAGUUAUUGAAAACAUACCCCAAAGUAUAAAACAUAAUUCAUUUGCAAGACACAGACCUCAGACUCUAGUAAGUUUACUUUAUAUUUUGCUUUUAAUUUGCAUUUAAAUAAAAAAUCCUCAAAACAAAAAGCCAAGAUUUUUUUUUCUACUGAAUCAGAGCU